GUAACUUCAGACAACAGGAACAGUAUGUAAGAAGAGCUGCAUUAUCUAGAUUCUAGGUCUCAAAAUAUAAGGAAUGACCUCACGAGUCACAGCCCAGUUGUUCCUAUAUGUAGUUAGAAGGAGAUAUCUGAAGGAGCUCCUUGGAUCUGGCAUCCUCUCUACCGUCAACCUCACACCCCAGGCAAGAAGGGGAAAUCCCAGAGGCCAUAAUCCUCCAGCCAUCUGGGAGGCACCCAGAAGACAACCAUUAGCAGACACUCUGGGACUUCAGGCAGUUCUGCUCCUUGAAACAACUGUCACUGGAGAGGCGAUUUUACAGCAGCCACUGUUGUCAAGUGGAAAUACAUUUUUAGUAAUAAGAAUAACAGCAAUGGACGGAUAAGCUGGCUCUUCUGGAACAACCAUCCAGGGAUAUUCCAGCCUUACAGUUCUAUCAGGUCAAGCAAAAGUUGAUGUUUCUACCUCACCAGGGAGCACUUUAGCCCUUAAUCUCUUUUACAAGCAGCAGAGGACUUGAAGACCAAAUGACAGCCAGGGACCUGGCCAUUGCCGGGUAGCCUAGGAAUGUGCGACCACUAAGGAAUUGAAGCCCUUCUCUGUGUCUCUGUUUUUCUCACUUGUCUUCUUUCCAGCUGUCCUAUAGGUGUGGUAAAUCUGAAUGCACAAUUCUCAAAAACCAUAACUCCCACUUUUUCUAGGUGCCAAAGAGAAUGUUAAAAUAUCUUCAAUUAUCCAUUCUCUCAUUUCAACUUCAGCUUCUAGUAUUGAUUAAGAAGUGGAGACCACCUCAUCUGUCCUCCUCAAUCUUAUUCAUGCACUACUGAGACGCACCUACAGGAGGAGAAACACUUCCAAGCACACGAUGUGAAUUUGUA
RNAcentral lists this long non-coding RNA (875 nucleotides) under Homo sapiens (human). RNAcentral's name for it is "HSALNT0046926". Lineage: Eukaryota; Metazoa; Chordata; Mammalia; Primates; Hominidae. The record is from RNAcentral.